Molecule: long non-coding RNA, 601 nt
Filed under: Mus musculus (house mouse)
Lineage: Eukaryota; Metazoa; Chordata; Mammalia; Rodentia; Muridae
Description: long non-coding RNA chr4:3455701-3456302
Source: RNAcentral
GGAUGCCUGACAGGUGUCACCACUGUAAACCUCCUCCUCCUGCUCUCAUGUGCUUCUUCAGAAGGAGGUAUACAGUGAACACUUGUGGGGACUUGGGCUUCACUUCUACCUGGGGAAAUUAUGUGAAAUUAUUUGUCAUGAGAAAAUUACCUCUUCUGUUUAUUUGAUGACUCAUUUAUGCAUACCAGUGUGGACAUAUGGGUAUUUAUUCUACACCCAUUGUGGGCUUAUGUAUAUUUAUUGUACCCUCAUUGUGAACUUAUGGGUAUUUAUUGAACCCCAAUGUGCACUUAUAGAUAUUUAUUCUGCCCCAGUGUGGACUUAGGGGUAUUUAUUCUAUCCCCAGUGUGGAAUCAUGGGUAUUUAUUCUAUCCCCAGUGUGGACUUAGGGGUAUUUAUUCUACCCCCAGUGUGAACUUAGGUGUAUUUAUUCUGCCCCAGUGUUGACUUAGGAGUAUCUAUGCUGCCCCAGGGUUAUGCUCUAACAUAUUAUGCUGUUCUGUUGCUUGUAUUGUCCCCAUUUGGAUCCUCCACUCUUCCACUUGGUUUCAGAUCUUCUUAUGCAUACUCUGUUCCCUAUGGGUUUUUCUUUUCUUUCCUC